GUCUUAUUGAGAAUUAUUUUAAGUCUAAUCUGCCCACUGAGGUUUUAAAUGGCCGCGGUAUUUUGACCGUGCAAAGGUAGCAUAAUCAUUAGUUUUUUAAUUGAAAGCUGGUAUGAAGGAUUGAAUGAGAAAAUAGCUGUCUCUUUAAUAAUUAUUGAAAUUUAUUUUUAAGUAAAAAAGCUUAAAUUAUAUUUAAAGACGAGAAGACCCUAUAGAGUUUUAUUUUUUAUUAUUUAAGUUUAUUUUAGUAUUAAAAUUAAAUUUAUAUGAUAAAAAUUUAAUUGGGGUGAUUAAAAAAUUAAUUAAACUUUUUUUAUUUGAAUUCAAUAAUUUUUGUUUGAAUGAUCCAUUUUUAGUGAUUAAAAGAUUAAAUUACCUUAGGGAUAACAGCGUAAUUUUUUUUGAAAGUUCUUAUUGAAAAAAAAGUUUGCGACCUCGAUGUUGGAUUAAAAUUAAUUUUUGGUGUAGAAGCUAAAAAUUUUAGUCUGUUCGACUAUUAAAAUUUUACA
Molecule: ribosomal RNA, 509 nt
Filed under: Laemophloeus biguttatus
Lineage: Eukaryota; Metazoa; Arthropoda; Insecta; Coleoptera; Laemophloeidae
Description: partial 16S ribosomal RNA
Rfam family: Bacterial large subunit ribosomal RNA (bases 383-509)
Source: RNAcentral